AGAGUUUGAUCAUGGCUCAGGACGAACGCUGGCGGCGUGCCUAAUACAUGCAAGUCGAGCGGACAGAUGGGAGCUUGCUCCCUGAUGUUAGCGGCGGACGGGUGAGUAACACGUGGGUAACCUGCCUGUAAGACUGGGAUAACUCCGGGAAACCGGGGCUAAUACCGGAUGCUUGUUUGAACCGCAUGGUUCAAACAUAAAAGGUGGCUUCGGCUACCACUUACAGAUGGACCCGCGGCGCAUUAGCUAGUUGGUGAGGUAAUGGCUCACCAAGGCGACGAUGCGUAGCCGACCUGAGAGGGUGAUCGGCCACACUGGGACUGAGACACGGCCCAGACUCCUACGGGAGGCAGCAGUAGGGAAUCUUCCGCAAUGGACGAAAGUCUGACGGAGCAACGCCGCGUGAGUGAUGAAGGUUUUCGGAUCGUAAAGCUCUGUUGUUAGGGAAGAACAAGUACCGUUCGAAUAGGAACGGU
RNAcentral lists this ribosomal RNA (476 nucleotides) under Bacillus subtilis. RNAcentral's name for it is "bacterial SSU rRNA". It matches the Rfam family "Bacterial small subunit ribosomal RNA", at positions 8 to 476 of the family's 1533-position model. The record is from RNAcentral. Lineage: Bacteria; Bacillati; Bacillota; Bacilli; Caryophanales; Bacillaceae.